This 451-nucleotide ribosomal RNA is filed under the name uncultured bacterium. Its description in RNAcentral is "bacterial SSU rRNA". It matches the Rfam family "Bacterial small subunit ribosomal RNA", at positions 354 to 796 of the family's 1533-position model. The record is from RNAcentral.
GUGGGGAAUUGUUCGCAAUGGGCGCAAGCCUGACGACGCAACGCCGCGUGGAGGACGAAGAUCUUCGGAUCGUAAACUCCUGUCGAGCGGGACGAACGGCCCGGGACCCAACACGUCUCGGGAGUGACGGUACCGCUAAAGGAAGCCCCGGCUAACUCCGUGCCAGCAGCCGCGGUAAUACGGGGGGGGCCAGCGUUGUUCGGAAUUACUGGGCGUAAAGGGCGCGUAGGCGGCCUUCUCAGUCAGACGUGAAAUCCCUCGGCUCAACCGGGGAACUGCGUCUGAUACUGGAAGGCUUGAAUCCGGGAGAGGGAUGCGGAAUUCCAGGUGUAGCGGUGAAAUGCGUAGAUAUCUGGAGGAACACCGGUGGCGAAGGCGGCAUCCUGGACCGGUAUUGACGCUGAGGCGCGAAAGCCAGGGGAGCAAACGGGAUUAGAUACCCGAGUAGUCC